Molecule: ribosomal RNA, 374 nt
Filed under: uncultured bacterium
Lineage: Bacteria
Description: bacterial SSU rRNA
Rfam family: Bacterial small subunit ribosomal RNA
Source: RNAcentral
AUACGUAGGGGGCUAGCGUUAUCCGGAAUUACUGGGCGUAAAGGGUGCGUAGGUGGUUUCUUAAGUCAGAGGUGAAAGGCUACGGCUCAACCGUAGUAAGCCUUUGAAACUGGGAAACUUGAGUGCAGGAGAGGAGAGUGGAAUUCCUAGUGUAGCGGUGAAAUGCGUAGAUAUUAGGAGGAACACCAGUUGCGAAGGCGGCUCUCUGGACUGUAACUGACACUGAGGCACGAAAGCGUGGGGAGCAAACAGGAUUAGAUACCCUGGUAGUCCACGCCGUAAACGUUGAGUACUAGCUGUCGGAGGUUACCCCCUUCGGUGGCGCAGCUAACGCAUUAAGUACUCCGCCUGGGAAGUACGCUCGCAAGAGUGAA